Molecule: ribosomal RNA, 253 nt
Filed under: uncultured bacterium
Lineage: Bacteria
Description: partial 16S ribosomal RNA
Rfam family: Bacterial small subunit ribosomal RNA
Source: RNAcentral
UACGGAGGGGGCUAGCGUUGUUCGGAAUUACUGGGCGUAAAGCGCACGUAGGCGGCUUUGUAAGUUAGAGGUGAAAGCCCGGGGCUCAACUCCGGAAUUGCCUUUAAGACUGCAUCGCUAGAACGUCGGAGAGGUAAGUGGAAUUCCGAGUGUAGAGGUGAAAUUCGUAGAUAUUCGGAAGAACACCAGUGGCGAAGGCGACUCACUGGACGACUGUUGACGCUGAGGUGCGAAAGCGUGGGGAGCAAACAGG